RNAcentral lists this ribosomal RNA (323 nucleotides) under uncultured eukaryote. RNAcentral's name for it is "partial 18S ribosomal RNA". It matches the Rfam family "Eukaryotic small subunit ribosomal RNA", at positions 1470 to 1796 of the family's 1831-position model. The record is from RNAcentral.
CCCUUAGAUGUUCUGGGCAGCACGCGCGCUACAAUGGUCUUCGCAAACGGAUGCAUUCUCGAAGGAGAAUGCCAAUCUUGGAAUCUAUGCCUUGGUCGGGACAGUUGCUUGCAAUUUUUCGACUCGAACCAGGAAUUCCUUGUAAUCGUGACUCAUCACAUCACGAUGAUUACGUCCCUGCCCUUUGUACACACCGCCCGUCGCUCCUACCGAUUGAAUGAUCCGAUGAAUAUCAUGGAUUGAGGAUUAUAGCAGGUUCGCCUGUCUUGAUCUUCGAGAAGUGAAGUAAAUCUUAUCAUUUAGAGGAAGGAGAAGUCGUAACA